AAAAAAAAAAUAAUAAAAAAAAAGAUUAUUCAACCCUUAAGCUUUUUGAAAACUCUACCUUUUAAGAAAGAUAGAGCUUGCUUCUUAGAACGACCCCAUUCAACUGGCAAUCCAAGGUAGUUGGACAAAGAUCCUGAGUUUGGGAUUUGGAACAAAUUUUCUAUCUCCCUUCGUAUGCGGGUAGGAGAGUUACUACUGAAAGUGAUGUCUAACUUAUGAGGAUUAAUUUUCUGGCCUGAAGACAAACUGAAAGAUUCCAACAUAGACUUAAUAUGAGCUGCUUCAUCCAUAGAUGCCUGACCAAAUAGGAUAGAAUCAUUAGCAAAAAGGAAAUGUGUUAAAGUAGGGCAGUGCCUAUUAAUUUUAAAACCCCGAAUUUGAUUGCUAUUCAAAGCAUACUUAAUAAUUCUAGAAAGGACAUCUAAAACCAUCAAAAAGAGAUAGGAUGAAAUUGGAUCCCCUUGUCUAAUCCCUCUUGAUGGUUGAAAAAAAGCUUGACCAAUCCCCAUUUACUAAAACAGCGUAUUGAACAGUAGUGAUGCAUUGCUUUAUCCACCCCAACCACUUAUCACGGAAGCCCAUUUCCUUCAUCACCAAAACCAAGAAGUCCCAGUUUACACUGUCAUACGCCUUAUGAAAGUCUAACUUAAUAGCCAUUGCUCCCUGCUUACCCUUUUUCUUCUUCAAUGCAUGGAAAGCUUCAUGGACUAUAAGGAUGUUAUCUUAGACACAUCGAUUAGGGACAAAUGCAGAUUGCAGUGGGGAAAUAAUAUCCUAAAGCCAUGGUUUCAUUAGCAAGAGCCUUUGAGAUUAUCUUAUACGCAAAAUUGCACAAGCUAAUAGGACGAAAAUCCACAAAACUCAGAGGAUUACCAUUUUUAGGGAUUAAAGCAAUACGAGUAGAAUUAGUAUUGGGGGGAAGAAUACUAGAAUUGAAAAAAUCCCUCACCAAUUUAAUCACAUCUUGUUUGAUCACUGCCUAAAACUUCUAAAAAAAUAUUCCUUGAAAUCCAUCCGGUCCAAGAGCUUUGUGAGCCCCAAGAUUGAAAACCACUUCCUUGAUCUCCUGAUCUGCCUGGAACAACUUCAAAAAGUAAGAAAGAGCCUCUUUUUUAUCUCUUCAUCCUGAUGGAGCCAAGUCCUAGCACCAUUCUUAAUUUUAAUAAUUUGAUUCCGUUGUCUCCUUUUUGUGGCUGUUGAAUGGAAAAAACAGGUAUUUUUAUCCCCAUAAAAUAGCCAAUUCACUCGAGACUUUUGAAACUAGUACAUCUCUUCGAACUGCCAAUGCCUUUUCAACUGGUUUUCAGUUUGAUCAAUUUCAUCUUGCAAUGCAAGGAUUCUUGGAGAAGAUUGUAAUCUAUCCAAUUUCCUUGACAGAUCAGCAAUAUUUUUCCUAGAGUUACCAAAUUUCCUCUUGCUCCAACUGCUCAAGACUUCCCUGCAUUGAUCAAGUUUAGACAAUAAAUGGGCAAAUGACUCUUGUGAUGACCAAAUAUUUGUAACAAUAUCCUCACAAGGAGUAAAGGUGGUCCAUCGUAAGUCAAAGAAAAAAGGCUUGAAUUGCCUCUUAGAUUUGAGAUGAAGCAUCAAUAAAAGAGGCCUAUGAUCUAAAGCAACCAUUUUUUCAUGAAUCAAUCGGCAAAACGGGAAUAGAACUCUCCAUUCAGGUGAAACUACUACUUUAUCAAGUCUCUCCAAAAUACAUGCUCGCCCUUGUUGCUUGUUGGCCCUAGUAAACCUUGGACCUUUGAAAUCAAUUUCCCCAAGCUCUUCAUCAUCCAGAAAAGAGUUAGUAAACCUUCUAUUUGAUUGUUAAUUCUCCUUCUUCCCCAUUUAUCCAGAGUUGAAUUACAAAUAUUGAAAUCUCCCAUUAGCAUCCAUGGCCUCCCAUCUUUGAAAUUCAGCUUCUUUAAUGCAUUAAUAAACGCAAUCCGAUUGUUUGCCUCUAGAUCCCCAUAGACAAAAGUGGCAUGCCACUGAACAUUAUGGGUAAUGACCACAUCAAUCCAACGCUUUGUUGCCUGCAGAAUCUGAAUUUGAAAACCAUCAUUCCACCAUAAAGCUAAGCUAUCAGAUUUUCCUUCCAGUUCAAUAUACCAAGAUUUGACAAAACCCAACCGAAUACGCCAUCUUUCUAAGUACAUCUUCUUUUUCUUUGUUUCUGACAAAAACAUAAUCCGGGCUUAUUGACAGGGAUGAGCUCUCUGAGAGUUUGCAUCGUCAGGAGUUGCCCGGCCCCCUGACAAUUCCAUCCUAAGAUAAUCAUGGCCGCCAUGGUGGCUUUUGGCCAACCACCUGCCUGAUAAAGUCAGUCACUUUGAUAGAGCUCAGGAGAGAGAUUCGUCGAGCUAAAUGUUUCAGCUUAGGUUUAUGGUGUUUGAUGGCUUUGAAGAAUUUGAAACUAGAGGAUGUUCUUUGGGCUGGCUUGCCAAAACAUUGAUAGCUAGUGCUGGGUCACUAGAUGGAUUGGGCUCAUAUACAUCCAAACUAUCCAGAGAAAUAAUUGGGUUACUAGCCAGGAGAUGUAUGGGUUUUCCUAUUAUUUCAGCUCAGGAUAAUCUGGACCAAUUCCCAAUAGCAGACCAUGAUUCACAUUUUGGAAAAAGAGAACAAUCUACAAAAGCAUCCUUCACUUUCUUGGAAACAGAGAACAAAGAUGGGUAUGGUUUUCUUUUCAGAGAAGGAAGUUGGGCUAUGGAUUUGUCAAAGGAGAAGGUAUCACUCGUGUAUAAGGAUCGAUUUGAUAGUGCCAGGGUGAUUUUACUUGUGGUUUCAAUCCUUUCUAGGGUAAUAGCAUGGGGAAAGGAUGGAUUUGGUAUGGUUAAAGCAGGUUGUGAUGAUUGCUGGGUAAGGGAUGGAGAUGUAAAGUUGUCAGAUGAAGCAGCUAGGAUACUGGGCUUUGAAGCAUAACAGUUCCAAAUACUGACAUGGCAUGGCUUUGGGGUGUUUCACAUGGAACUAAGUCUUAGGAUUGGUGUAGUGGAGUUUGAGAAGCACGCGUCGCUACUACCAAAAUUGUAGAUUGAUUAACCAGUUCAUUUCGAUUUGUUGAAGAAGACUCCCCUCCCAAAGACUGGCAUUUUUUAGUGGUCCAAAUCUCAACUCUCAUCCAAUGACCAUAUUCUUGUCUUUUCCCUCUAUUUUCCGGAGCAACCACUUUAGGAAUGUUGGGACAUGUUUGAAUCUGAUCGCCUAAAAGCCCACACAUAUAACAAACAUCAGGAAGCCUCUCAUACCUCAAUCCAAACCUUUCUACUGACCAAUCCCUCUUCUUGUUUGUGAAACUUUCAAUCAGUGGCCUAUCAACAGCAAUCUCCACUUUAAUCCACAUACAUGGGCCUAUUGAUACAUCUUGAU
Molecule: unclassified non-coding RNA, 3357 nt
Filed under: Hevea brasiliensis (rubber tree)
Lineage: Eukaryota; Viridiplantae; Streptophyta; Magnoliopsida; Malpighiales; Euphorbiaceae
Source: RNAcentral